RNAcentral lists this ribosomal RNA (493 nucleotides) under uncultured bacterium. RNAcentral's name for it is "partial 16S ribosomal RNA". It matches the Rfam family "Bacterial small subunit ribosomal RNA", at positions 30 to 507 of the family's 1533-position model. The record is from RNAcentral.
AGUGAACGCUGGCGGUAGGCCUAACACAUGCAAGUCGAACGGCAGCACAGUAAGAGCUUGCUCUUACGGGUGGCGAGUGGCGGACGGGUGAGGAAUACAUCGGAAUCUACUUUUUCGUGGGGGAUAACGUAGGGAAACUUACGCUAAUACCGCAUACGACCUACGGGUGAAAGCAGGGGAUCUUCGGACCUUGCGCGAUUGAAUGAGCCGAUGUUGGAUUAGCUAGUUGGCGGGGGAAAGGCCCACCAAGGCGACGAUACGUAGCUGGACUGAGAGGGUGAGCGGCCACAGUGGGACGGAGACACGGCCCAAACUCCUACGGGAGGCAGCAGUAGGGGAUCUUCGGAGAGGGACGAAAGGCUGAACGAGCAACGCCGCGGGAGGGAAGAAGGGUGUCGGAUCGUAAAACUCGGUUGGUAGAGAAGAACGUUGGUGAGAGUGGAAAGCUCAUCAAGUGACGGUAACUACCCAGAAAGGGACGGCUAACUACGUG